GUUCUCCAACUGCUCUAUGAUGGUGUACAACAGGGGUUCUCAACCUUUUUCUUUCUGAGGCCCCCCAAACAAGUUAUAAAAACUCCAUAGCCCACCCGUGCCAUAACUGGUUUUCUGCAUAUAAAAGCCAGGGCUAGUGUUAG
Dermochelys coriacea (leatherback sea turtle) is the source of this 143-nucleotide long non-coding RNA. RefSeq lists it as uncharacterized. The record is from RefSeq and is a predicted model, not a curated record. The transcript has 4 exons. Lineage: Eukaryota; Metazoa; Chordata; Testudines; Dermochelyidae.